This 837-nucleotide ribosomal RNA is filed under the name uncultured Alphaproteobacteria bacterium. RNAcentral describes it as "bacterial SSU rRNA". It matches the Rfam family "Bacterial small subunit ribosomal RNA", at positions 64 to 924 of the family's 1533-position model. The record is from RNAcentral. Lineage: Bacteria; Pseudomonadati; Pseudomonadota; Alphaproteobacteria.
AAACGCCUAUCCACUCCUGCNGUCGAAGANCUCUUCGGAGUUAGUGGCGGACGGGUGAGUAACACGUGGGAACGUGCCUUUAGGUUCGGAAUAACUCAGGGAAACUUGUGCUAAUACCGAAUGUGCCCUUCGGGGGAAAGAUUUAUCGCCUUUAGAGCGGCCCGCGUCUGAUUAGCUAGUUGGUGAGGUAAUGGCUCACCAAGGCGACGAUCAGUAGCUGGUCUGAGAGGAUGAUCAGCCACAUUGGGACUGAGACACGGCCCAAACUCCUACGGGAGGCAGCAGUGGGGAAUCUUGCGCAAUGGGCGAAAGCCUGACGCAGCCAUGCCGCGUGAAUGAUGAAGGUCUUAGGAUUGUAAAAUUCUUUCACCGGGGACGAUAAUGACGGUACCCGGAGAAGAAGCCCCGGCUAACUUCGUGCCAGCAGCCGCGGUAAUACGAAGGGGGCUAGCGUUGCUCGGAAUUACUGGGCGUAAAGGGAGCGUAGGCGGACAUUUAAGUCAGGGGUGAAAUCCCGGGGCUCAACCUCGGAAUUGCCUUUGAUACUGGGUGUCUUGAGUAUGAGAGAGGUGUGUGGAACUCCGAGUGUAGAGGUGAAAUUCGUAGAUAUUCGGAAGAACACCAGUGGCGAAGGCGACACACUGGCUCAUUACUGACGCUGAGGCUCGAAAGCGUGGGGAGCAAACAGGAUUAGAUACCCUGGUAGUCCACGCCGUAAACGAUGAUUGCUAGUUGUCCGGAUGCAUGCAUUUCGGUGACGCAGCUAACGCAUUAAGCAAUCCGCCCGGGGGAGUACGGUCGCAAGAUUAAAACUCCAAGGAAUUGACGGGGGCCCGC